This 464-nucleotide ribosomal RNA is filed under the name uncultured Acetobacteraceae bacterium. RNAcentral describes it as "partial 16S ribosomal RNA". Lineage: Bacteria; Pseudomonadati; Pseudomonadota; Alphaproteobacteria; Acetobacterales; Acetobacteraceae. The record is from RNAcentral.
CACGAAGUUAGCCGGGGCUUCUUCUGCGGGUACCGUCAUCAUCGUUCCCGCCGAAAGGGCUUUACAAUCCGAAGACCUUCUUCACCCACGCGGCAUUGCUGGAUCAGGCUUUCGCCCAUUGUCCAAUACUCCCCACUGCUGCCUCCCGUAGGAGUCUGGGCCGUGUCUCAGUCCCAGUGUGGCUGAUCAUCCUCUCAGACCAGCUACCGAUCGCUGCCUUGGUAAGCCAUCACCCCACCAACUAGCUAAUCGGACGCAGGCCGCUCCAAAGGCGGCUGGUUGCCCAGCCUUUGGCCCUCAGGCCCCGUGCGGUAUUAGCCGCAGUUUCCCGCGGUUAUCCCCCACCCUGGAUACGUUCCUACGCGCUCCUCACCCGUCCGCCACUGACCGGAGUUGCCCCGGCCGUCAGACUUGCAUGUGUUAGGCAUGCCGCCAGCGUUCGCUCUGAGCCAGGAUCAAACUCU